UACCAGCACCCCGAGUGGUCGGGACGUUUAUUGGGCCUAAAGCAUCCGUAGCCGGUUCUACAAGUCUUCCGUUAAAUCCACCUGCUUAACAGAUGGGCUGCGGAAGAUACUAUAGAACUAGGAGGCGGGAGAGGCAAGCGGUACUCGAUGGGUAGGGGUAAAAUCCGUUGAUCCAUUGAAGACCACCAGUGGCGAAGGCGGCUUGCCAGAACGCGCUCGACGGUGAGGGAUGAAAGCUGGGGGAGCAAACCGG
This 253-nucleotide ribosomal RNA is filed under the name uncultured bacterium. RNAcentral's name for it is "partial 16S ribosomal RNA". It matches the Rfam family "Archaeal small subunit ribosomal RNA", at positions 474 to 727 of the family's 1478-position model. The record is from RNAcentral.